UGGGGAAUAUUGGACAAUGGGCGCAAGCCUGAUCCAGCCAUGCCGCGUGAGUGAUGAAGGCCCUAGGGUUGUAAAGCUCUUUCACCGGUGAAGAUAAUGACGGUAACCGGAGAAGAAGCCCCGGCUAACUUCGUGCCAGCAGCCGCGGUAAUACGAAGGGGGCUAGCGUUGUUCGGAUUUACUGGGCGUAAAGCGCACGUAGGCGGACUUUUAAGUCAGGGGUGAAAUACCGGGGCUCAACCCCGGAACUGCCUUUGAUACUGGAAGUGUUGAGUAUGGUAGAGGUGAGUGGAAUUCCGAGUGUAGAGGUGAAAUUCGGAGAUAUUCGGAGGAACACCAGUGGCGAAAGCGGCUCACUGGACCAUUACUGACGCUGAGGUGCGAAAGCGUGGGGAGCAAACAGG
Molecule: ribosomal RNA, 404 nt
Filed under: Actinomycetes bacterium
Lineage: Bacteria; Bacillati; Actinomycetota; Actinomycetes
Description: Actinobacteria bacterium partial 16S ribosomal RNA
Rfam family: Bacterial small subunit ribosomal RNA
Source: RNAcentral